RNAcentral lists this non-coding RNA (80 nucleotides) under human gut metagenome. RNAcentral's name for it is "Cyclic di-GMP-I riboswitch". It matches the Rfam family "c-di-GMP-I riboswitch aptamer", at positions 6 to 83 of the family's 87-position model. Rfam says of the family: GEMM was predicted in a large-scale screen for bacterial structured RNA regulatory elements. Genes associated with GEMM are involved in a diverse array of functions, including chemotaxis regulation, signal transduction, secretion and chitin. The record is from RNAcentral.
UAAAAAAGCAAAAUAAACGAAAGUUUAUGACGCAAAGCCAUGAUCUAAAAGUUCUAAAAAACUCAUGAUAGCCAGGUUGC